AACAGCUUAGCUCAGCGGUAGAGCAACGGUUUUGUAAACCGUCGGUCGUCGGUUCGAUUCCGACAGCUG
This 69-nucleotide transfer RNA is filed under the name Verrucomicrobiota bacterium. RNAcentral describes it as "tRNA-Thr". It matches the Rfam family "tRNA". Rfam says of the family: Transfer RNA (tRNA) molecules are approximately 80 nucleotides in length. Their secondary structure includes four short double-helical elements and three loops (D, anti-codon, and T loops). Lineage: Bacteria; Pseudomonadati; Verrucomicrobiota. The record is from RNAcentral.